This is a long non-coding RNA of Heterocephalus glaber (naked mole-rat), 4357 nucleotides long. NCBI's taxonomy places the organism in Eukaryota, Metazoa, Chordata, Mammalia, Rodentia, Bathyergidae. The record is from Ensembl.
CCUCAGGAGUCACCUUGAAGAGACACAGUGCGAUUCAUCUGAGACAGGCUGUGAGCUUCUAUAAGGAAAAGCCAUAGUCAGCAUUCCCCAGGUGUCCCUGACAUCCUCAUGGCCUUCAGAAGGGUAGUUGGAGGUGGCGCUCAUUGGUGGUUCUGCUGAGCAGAGUGGGUGUGUGUCUUACUAUGUAGUCAGGCUGGCCUUGGACCUCCUAUGUAGCCCAGAUGACCUUGAAUUCAUGAUCCUCCAUCUUCAGCCUCCUGAAUGCUGAGAUUAUAGGUAUGUACCACCAUGGCCAGUUUUACAUGUCUGUAAUUUUUAGGUCAUGAGGUAGCAAGCAGGUGCUGUUUUGUUCCUUGUCCAGUCAUGUGAUCCCAAGCCUGCAGCAUGUGACUCCACAGAGCCAAUCCUCACCACCCCCGCUCAUCAUUUUUUUUUUUGGUACUGGGGAUUGAACUCGGGUCCUUGUGUUUGCGCAGCAGGCGGCGAAACCACUGAGCUAAAUCCCUGGCCCCACAUUUUUUUAAUAAGCAGCACACAGAUACUCCUUUUAGCACUUACAGUUGAGCUUCUUCCACUUGCAGGCGGAGGGUCAGUCUCAGAAAGAUUUUGUUGAAGACUCAGGUACACGCCAAGAGCUGGCUCUGUGGCUGUAGGGAACCGCCUCCCCCUCUCUCAUUAACAGCCCCCAGACUCAAGCUUUCUGCUCUGUCUGGCACUUAGCGGCUAAGAGUUUAUGCCAGGGGCAGGGAGCUCAAACACAGUAAUGCAUGUUUGCUUUUGAAGAAUAGCAGGAUACAAAAUUCUGCAAAUACAAAAUGAUGGUACAUAUGUACCAGGCUGGAAUGCGAAUCAGAAAGGGGCCAGUCAGUUAGGGGAUGGGCAGUUGAAAAACUUUGUGACAUUUCUGUAUAAUGUUGUUUGUGCAAUGAAUGAGAAAUGGAGACCACGCUAACUUUUACUGAGCAUAUAAAGACUGCCAGGUCAAUAUGAGGUAAUUUUGUACACCCCAUGUUUUAAAUCUCACAUUCCUCCUUUUAACAGAUAAGGACAUUGAGUCAGAGAGGCCAAGAGCCAGGAUCACAUAGUGAGCGAGUGACAGAGCAGGAAAUGCAGUCUAGAUCUGUUUAGUUCCCCACAUGAUCCUCUACAAAUAUUAUUUAAAAUUAAAUGUUCUAGGUAAUAUAGUUAUUAAACAAACAUUUGUAAACUCACCACCUAACCCAAGACAGUGUUUAUUCCUACUUUUGUGCUUUCCAGUUCCUUCCCAACCAGUCCCUUUCCUGAAUUUUGUGUUUAUCCGUUCUGUUUUUAAGAUUUUAGUUCUUGGAAUAACUUUUAUCUUGGGGAUACUAUGCAUACAGAAAAGUGAACAGCAUAAGUGUUUAGCUUGAUGAAUUUUCACAAACUGUACACACAUCCAUGUAACCAACAUUGAGAUCCAGAAAAUAAGAGUGUUAUCAGUAUUUUAAGUAUGUAAACAUUUUUUCACAGGUUUACUAUGUUCCAUUAUUUCUUCUUUGUAAAUAUCUGCUUAUAUCCUUUAUCAUCUUACCUAUUCAGGUGUUGGCACCUUAAAAUCAUCAUGGUCUCUGUGCCUAUUGACUUACAUGAGCUUCUUGCCAUAUGUGUUAAAAAUACCUUUCCAGGGCUGGGGAUUUAGCUCAGUGGCACAGCGCCUGCCUGGCAAACGUGAAGUCCUGAGUUCGAUCCCCAGUACCAACAAACAAAACAAAACAAAAAACAAAAACUAUCUUUCCACUUUUUUAUUCAUUUAAACAUUUUAUUUGAGAAGUAUUUUUUUAACUGUCUCUCUUUCUCCACGCCCUUGGCCUUUUGGUAAGGUCUGUAAAGCACUUCGGCUUAGACUUGGUCAGACUGAGUUCCCAUCUCCCAUGGCCACUCACUCAGUCCACCGAACUUUUUCUGCUUGGCUCGUUUUCUUCCUCUCUCUGGGCUUUCUGCAGCACAGCUGAACAUCUGCAGAGCUACAGUUAGCCAACUUGAAUGAAACUGCAAAAAGAUAAUCAAUAAAGAAUUUAAAUGGGUGCAAAUAUAUAUGUAUCAAGAAGGAAACUUUUUUUCUUUGAAGUAUUGGGGAUUAAACCCAGGCCCUUUGCACUCGGCUACAUCCCCAGUCCUUUCUUUCUUUAUUUAUUUUGAGACAGGGUCUAAGUUGCUAAAUUGCCCAGGCUGUGUUCAAACUUGUGAUUCUCCUUCUUCAGCCUCCCAGAGUACCAAGAUUACAGGCAUGCAUCACCAUGCCCUACAAGAAUAUAUUUCUAUGGGCCAGGGAUUUAGCUCAGUGGUUCCACUACCUGCCUCCAAAGCACAAGGACCUGAGUUCAAUCCCCAGUACCACACACACACACAAAAGAAUCAUAAUAAUACAUUUUAUGACUAGAAAAUGAUACUUAUUCAUGGUAUACAAUUCAAAUAGAAAAAUGUUACCUCCCCCCCCGAUUACAUUUCUUUUUUUUUUUUUUUUUGUACCGGGGAUUGAACCCAGAUUACAUUUCUAACCUAAACAUUGGAUCAUACCAAACCUGAAAUCCAAAAUGCUCCAAAAUCUGAGACUUUGAAUGCUGACAUGGUACCAUGAGUAAUAGAUUCUACACCUGAUCUAAUGUGUGGUUUGGCAGUCAAAACAUAGGCACACUAAAAAGAUUGUGUAAAACUACCAUCAGGCUGUGUGUAUAAGGUGUAUAUGAAACACAAAUAAAUUUUAUGUUUAGGGCCAGGAAUGUAGCUCAGUGGUGCAGCAUUUGCCUGCCAAGUGUGAGGCCCGGAGUUCAAUUCCCAGUACAUCCCCCCCAAAAAAACGCCAAUAAAUUUUAUGUUUAGACUUGGGUCCUAUAUGCAGAUAUUCUAAAAUACUGGGAAUUCCCAAAUCUGAGACACUUCCAGUCCCAAGUAUUUUGGAUAAGGGAUGUUCUUGCUAUACCUGAAGUUCUACCACUAAGACACAACUCCUGUUAACACUUUGGAGAAUAUCCUUACAGAUUGCCUCUCCUCUCCCUCCUGUUCUCAUUCUCCCUGUAUAAAAAUUUACACUGGGGGGGAACCCUUUACAUUAAUAUUCUCUUGGUUUGUAUCAUUCUUUCAUUUGACAAUGUCAUCCAUAUAUUUUCACCCCACACCCCUCUUGGCUGCGUAGGAUUUUGUUGCCUGAAUGUGCCAGAAUGUACUUUGUUGGCCAUGUAGGUUAGAGUGGUAAGCAUGCUAUAUGUUUCUUGGGAUGCUUGCCCUGUUGCUCUGACCUAGACUGAUGGCACUUCUAAUGCGGGAAGGUGGCUUGAGUUCAGCUUAACACCUCUGAACUCAACCAGCUUUGUGGGGUGCUGGGGAUCAAACCCAAUCACACAUGCUAAGUAUACCCUCUGUCACUGAGCUACACCACCAGCUCCUCACAUAGAUUUUUCAUUUUGGGAAGUCUCUGCUCCUUGGCCCCAGGAUUGGGUGGUUGGUCUCAUCUCCUUGAGCUCUUCUGGGAGCCCAUGGUUUACUCCUUCACUCCCUUUCCACUACCACAUGGAACUCUGCACAUAGGGGGUUGAGGUCACAUAAGGUUAAGUUUGAAACAAAAAUAAGACACACAUGCACGUUUUCUAUCUCUUUUUAGUUAUCAACACACUACUUGUAGAUACAGAGUAGAAAGUAAAAGCCAGCAGUCAUUCCACGAGUCAAUGAGAAGCCGUGUUAAGCUUAGGGGCUCACAGGGGCCUGGAACUCUGGCGUGCUUCCGUCACCUGGGACUCUUGUUUACAAUCCAGACGUCCCCUCUCCCUGAGGUUUGGAUUCAGUAGGCCUGCAGUAGGGCCUUGGCACCUGCAUUAUAAUCAACCUUCCCAGGCUACUUGGCUGCUCAAGAUUAACAAAAGAAUGCAGAAGUGUCUUUCCAGACAUUACUUGAUUAAAGAAAGAGCGGAGAGAAAAUGAGAAUGAGAUUGUGCCAUAUAUUCAUUUUUGGGUUUUGUCUAUUUAAAAUUACUCAUUUUUUGUGGUGCUGGGGAUUGACCUCAUGGCUUUGUACACGGUAGGCAAAUGCUCUACUACUGAGCUACACUUGCCCCCCCCAGCCUGGGCUUUAUAAAAAUCAGCAACAGAAUGUGAUCCAAAUACUAUCCAUAUCCUAAAUACAUAUCCUGUCCAUAUCCAAAUACUCCUUUAGACAUUCUAUUGUCUGCAUAAUAGUCCAUUGUGUGGAUGCAUUUCAAUUUACUCAGUCAACACUCUGUUGUUGAACAGUAGUUCUCUUCCCACCAUCAUUGCUGUUACAAAUAAUGCUAUGUAGCUAAAUCUUGUUGUAAAUUCCUUAAUUAUUUCCUUAAGUUAAAUUCCUAAGGAGUAAAUUAUGGGC